This is an RNA transcript of Lactuca sativa (garden lettuce), 2257 nucleotides long. It is a transcript of the gene named protein TRANSPORT INHIBITOR RESPONSE 1, with no coding region annotated. The record is from RefSeq and is a predicted model, not a curated record. Lineage: Eukaryota; Viridiplantae; Streptophyta; Magnoliopsida; Asterales; Asteraceae.
CAUCGUCACACGCUAUCGAUAACAUCAUUCCACAAUCUUUGUCUCUAUCAUCUGCGAUUGGAACAGCUUCGGUUUGAGCUCGUUACUACUUACUGGUGUGUUCUUUCCUUAGAUCUGAAGCUGAUAAACAUACCACUGAUUGGCGAGUUUUCUUCUCUGUUCUGUAGAUUCACCUAUCGGACCGAAAUUCUACGAUAUCUAGGUUUCCGGUCACGACGGUGCAAAAUGGGAUUCUCGUUUCCGGAGGAUCUGUUGGAACAUGUUUUCUCGUUCAUAACCUCUGAUAAGGACAGGAAUGCCGUUUCAUUGGUGUGCAAGUCGUGGUACGAGAUCGAGCGGUGGUGCCGGAGGAGGGUUUUCAUUGGGAACUGUUACGCUGUGAGCCCGGGGAUUGUGAUUAGGAGGUUUCCGGACUUGAAAUCGGUGGAGUUGAAAGGGAAACCGCAUUUUGCGGAUUUUAAUUUGGUUCCGGAUGGUUGGGGAGGAUAUGUUUACCCAUGGAUCGUUGAGUUUUCAAGAGCGUACCCUUGGUUAGAGGAGAUAAAGCUUAAGCGGAUGGUAGUCACUGAUGAGAGCUUGGAGUUGAUUUCCAAGUCUUUUAAGAGCUUUAAGGUUUUAGUUCUGUCUUCAUGCGAGGGUUUCAGUACCGAUGGACUCGCUGCCAUUGCCGCUAAUUGCAGAAAUUUAAAAGUACUAGAUUUGCGCGAGAGUGAAGUGGAGGAGCUAAGUGGACAUUGGUUAAGUCACUUCCCUGAUAGUUUCACCACAUUGGAAUCUCUUAACAUAGCUUGCUUGGGUUCUGAGGUAAGUUUCUCAGCCCUUGAGCACCUGGUUGCCCGCUCACCCAACUUAAAGACUCUUCGACUCAACCGUGCUGUACCCCUUGACAAGCUCUCCACACUUCUACACAGAGCCCCACAGCUGGUUGAGUUUGGCACAGGUGCCUAUUCUGCAGAAACUCGACCCAGUGUGUAUUCAAGUUUAGCAGAAGCUUUCUCACAUUGCAAAGAGCUUAAAGACCUUUCUGGGUUUUGGGAUGCUGUUCCUUCAUAUCUCCCAGCCAUUUAUCCCGUUUGUUCUAGGCUCACUUCAUUGAACUUGAGCUAUUCCCCUAUUCAAAGCCCUGAUAUCACCAAAAUCAUAACUCAGUGCCCUAAUCUCCAGCGUCUAUUGGUACUGGAUUACAUUGAGGAUGCUGGGCUUAAUGCCCUUGCUAUGUCAUGUAAGAACCUACAAGAGCUAAGGGUGUUCCCUUCUGAACCUUAUGUAAUGAAUUCAAAUGUCUCCUUAACAGAACAAGGCCUUGUUUCUGUUUGUGAAGGGUGCCCUAAGCUUCAGUCAGUUCUCUACUUCUGUAGACAAAUGUCAAAUUCUGCAUUGUUCAGCAUUGCUAGGGCACGUCCUAACUUAACAUGCUUUCGUCUAUGCAUUAUCGAACCCCAAGCCCCUGAUUACCUCACAUUUGAACCACUGGAUUCCGGUUUCGGAGCCAUAGUAGAACACUGUAAGGACCUCACACGUCUUUCAUUAUCCGGUUUCCUUACAGAUCGUGUGUUCGAGUACAUUGGGGCACAUGGUAAGAAGUUAAAGAUGCUUUCUUUAGCUUUUGCUGGCGAUAGUGAUUUAGGGUUGCAUCAUGUUUUAUCGGGGUGUGAGAGGUUAAGUAAGUUGGAGAUUAGGGAUUGCCCUUUUGGGGAUAAGGCUUUGUUGGGUAAUGCUGCUAAGCUGGAGACAAUGCGAUCCCUUUGGAUGUCUUCAUGUUCAGUUAGUUUUGGAGCGUGUAAAUUGCUUGGUGAAAAGAUGGGUAGGGUUAAUGUUGAGGUUAUGGAUGAGAGUGAUUACUUGGAGUUGGAUUCAAAGUCGGAUGGUUGUUUAGUUGAAAAGCUUUAUGUAUAUCGAACAGUCUCGGGUCCAAGGGAUGACAUGCCUCCCUUUAUAUACACAAUGGGUCAAGACUCUGCAUACAGGUUGAAUUAAUUAGGGAUAUGAUGUCCAUGUCCAUGACCAUGGGUAUAGAAGAUUGAUUACAAGGUAUUAUGAUGCCAUGGAGUCUAGUGAAGCAGAAUGACAGCUGGCUUGAUUCUUUUGGACCGAUUAUUUAUUUUUUUUACCGUUUGGAUUCUCUUGGAUCAAAUUUCUUUAGUCAAACGUAUCCUGAUAAUUAAACCUUAGCAACCGUUACUGAUUAUGUACACAUAUAUCUUAAAAUCUGUGACACUGUGAUAUAUAUAUUUUUUGCUCAAAAUCCUGCCUCACC